Transfer RNA from Cuculus canorus (common cuckoo), 82 nucleotides. It matches the Rfam family "tRNA". Rfam says of the family: Transfer RNA (tRNA) molecules are approximately 80 nucleotides in length. Lineage: Eukaryota; Metazoa; Chordata; Aves; Cuculiformes; Cuculidae. The record is from Rfam.
GAUGAGAUGGCUGAGUGGUGAAGGCAAUGGACUGCCAAUCCAUUGUGCCCUGCAUGUGUGGAUUUGAAUCCCACCCUUGUUG